RNAcentral lists this ribosomal RNA (468 nucleotides) under uncultured bacterium. RNAcentral describes it as "partial 16S ribosomal RNA". It matches the Rfam family "Bacterial small subunit ribosomal RNA", at positions 28 to 507 of the family's 1533-position model. The record is from RNAcentral.
GACGAACGCUGGCGGCGUGCUUAACACAUGCAAGUCGAACGGAAAGGCCCUGCUUUUGUGGGGUGCUCGAGUGGCGAACGGGUGAGUAACACGUGAGUAACCUGCCCUUGACUUUGGGAUAACUUCAGGAAACUGGGGCUAAUACCGGAUAGGAGCUCCUGCUGCAUGGUGGGGGUUGGAAAGUUUCGGCGGUUGGGGAUGGACUCGCGGCUUAUCAGCUUGUUGGUGGGGUAGUGGCUUACCAAGGCUUUGACGGGUAGCCGGCCUGAGAGGGUGACCGGCCACAUUGGGACUGAGAUACGGCCCAGACUCCUACGGGCGGCAGCAGUGGGGAAUAUUGCACAAUGGGCCGAAGCCUGAUGCAGCAACGCCGCGUGCGGGAUGACGGCCUUCGGGUUAUAAACCGCUUUCGCCUGUGACGAAGCGUGAGUGGCGGUAAUGGGUAAAGAAGCACCGGCUAACUACGUG